RNAcentral lists this RNase P RNA (366 nucleotides) under Candidatus Aminicenantota bacterium. Its description in RNAcentral is "RNase P RNA component class A". It matches the Rfam family "Bacterial RNase P class A". Rfam says of the family: Ribonuclease P (RNase P) is a ubiquitous endoribonuclease, found in archaea, bacteria and eukarya as well as chloroplasts and mitochondria. Its best characterised activity is the generation of mature 5'-ends of tRNAs by cleaving the 5'-leader elements of precursor-tRNAs. The record is from RNAcentral. Lineage: Bacteria; Candidatus Aminicenantota.
GAAGGCGGCUGGAGAACCGCCUUCCGGAAAUGCCCCGCAUUCCCGGAAGGAGGAAAGUCCGGACUCCGCAGGGAAGGAUGGUUCCUAACGGGAACGCUCCGCCGCACAGGCGGCGGAUACGGAAAGUGCCACAGAGAAUAGACUGCCCGCCCCGCGGGUAACGGUGAAAAGGUGAGGUAAGAGCUCACCGUCCCGGGCGGUGACGCCCGGGACUGAGGCAAACCCCAUCCGGAGCAAGGCCAAAUGGAGGGUGUUUGAGGCUGUCCCGGCCGAAUCCUCGGGUUGGCCGCUUGAGCGCGCCGGCAACGACGUGGCCAGAUAAAUGGUUCUCCUCGACAGAAUCCGGCUUACAGGCCGCCUUCGCAC